This 151-nucleotide ribosomal RNA is filed under the name uncultured bacterium. RNAcentral's name for it is "partial 16S ribosomal RNA". It matches the Rfam family "Bacterial small subunit ribosomal RNA", at positions 1111 to 1261 of the family's 1533-position model. The record is from RNAcentral.
UUUGUUGCCAGCAAGUAAUGGUGGGAAAUUAAAGGAGAAUGCCGUUGAUCAAGCGGAGGAAGGUGGGGAAGAAGUCAAGUCCUCAUGGCCCUUAAGGUCAGGGGUACACACGUGGUACAAUGGGGUAUACAAAGGGAUGGGAAGGUGGGAA